This 438-nucleotide ribosomal RNA is filed under the name uncultured bacterium. RNAcentral's name for it is "bacterial SSU rRNA". It matches the Rfam family "Bacterial small subunit ribosomal RNA", at positions 954 to 1392 of the family's 1533-position model. The record is from RNAcentral.
GCACAACGCGAAGAACCUUACCUACUCUUGACAUCCAGAGAACUUAGCAGAGAUGCUUUGGUGCCUUCGGGAACUCUGAGACAGGUGCUGCAUGGCUGUCGUCAGCUCGUGUUGUGAAAUGUUGGGUUAAGUCCCGCAACGAGCGCAACCCUUAUCCUUUGUUGCCAGCGGUCCGGCCGGGAACUCAAAGGAGACUGCCAGUGAUAAACUGGAGGAAGGUGGGGAUGACGUCAAGUCAUCAUGGCCCUUACGAGUAGGGCUACACACGUGCUACAAUGGCGCAUACAAAGAGAAGCGACCUCGCGAGAGCAAGCGGACCUCAUAAAGUGCGUCGUAGUCCGGAUUGGAGUCUGCAACUCGACUCCAUGAAGUCGGAAUCGCUAGUAAUCGUAGAUCAGAAUGCUACGGUGAAUACGUUCCCGGGUCUUGUACACACCG